UUUUUACUGUAUUUAGCUAGCAGUCCCUCAUCAGUGAAGGCUCCAAAAACAGGCAGAAACCUUCAGCAGAACCCUGCUAUUGACAUGUUUCGAUGCUGUUCUGGCUCCUGAGGGUCAAAGGUCGCACCCUUACCCCCCCCGGAGAGGACAGUACAAUAAUUCAGCUGACCAGAAACAACAAAACCCACAAUCUGCUAGCAAAGCUAAAAUUCGGAUACAUUCCGUCACAUGCGAUCGAGGUCGGCUUCUAUGCUGAGCACAGGAUGGAGCUAAGGGUUACCACGGUUACAGGGGCUCUUCCACCACCUGCACACACACGCCUCGGUUUUGCUAGCAUGUUUAAUAGCGGCGUACGCUAAUGCGGAUGGUGUGCCUGCGACGGGCAAUGGAAAAAAAAUGGGGAAAAAAAGUUGCUUGUUUGUGUUUGCGCGGGAGUGAGUUGAUCCCACUGAAAGUCACCUCUGACGGCCAUUAUACGCCCACAUGCUGAAAUAUCCCUCAAUUUCUGUUACCCCCCACCAGCUCCCUCCCCGACAUCGCUCUGAUUUGCAAGGGAAUCAGAGCGGACCACAUUAACAGGUGGUGCGUUCAAGGACCGGGUUGUGGAUCUGACACACAGCGGUGGGUCCGCGCUGGAGAACCGGAGCGUCGGGACCCUGAUUCGAGACCUCGGGAACGAUGUGGUCCCGGAAUAACGCCAUUGUCCACCGUUAUUUGCGUGUUUCCAGGUCACGUGCACGGCUGUAAAUCACCCCGGCGCCUUUGUUGUGCCGCCGCCCGUCUCUCAGUCUGGGUUCCGCGAUAGAUCCUGACAAGCUGCCGUCUGAAUUAUUGAUUCCCUGAUCUGAAAGUUUGAUGUUUAGCCCGAGGGUUGGAUUAACCCGGUGUCUCCCCUCAGAGGGAACCGUGGCACGGGCGCAGAGACGCGUGCACGGUCGCGUGGCCGGUCAAUGUGGCGGACCCACCUGGCUAGUUAGUGUUGAUUACAAUCACACAUCCACUGACGGAUAUCAGCUAACGCUAGCUGGCUGCGCUGACCCCCCAUGCUGCAGCGGAGUACCGCAGGGAAAUGGCGAUCGUUCCAGAGGUUCCCCGUCACCAGUGGGGGAGGUGAGGGGGUGGGGGGGGGGGUGGGGGGGGGACACCCUGCGGCUCGGAGACAUAGCUCCACACAUCUGCCAACGUUUAGCCUGGGAAACCCCAGAGAUCAGGUGAGUCAGUGACCAUCACCUCCGGCCGAACAGCAAGUUUCUGAGAAUUCCCUGAGCUUUUAUCCCUCCAGCGUCUUUUUUCGCUGUGAUCGUGCAUGUGGGAAAGCGUGCGCACGUCACGGCGCUCCAGCUGGCGACCGUCUGGGCGCGGGCCUGCUUGCGUCACCCUCGAAGCAGCAAAGUUCCCUUGUUUUUUUUAAGUCAAUGGUUGUUCUGGACCUUUGUAACUGAAACUUUCCUCACAUUGGGAACGUUAACGUAGCUUCUAGAUUAGCAUCACUGCAGCAGAAGAAGGCGGGGCUAUGAUCUGGCAGAUGCUGAUUGGUGGAACACUUGUUGGGGUUUUCCUGCAGGGGGCGUGGAGGAGUCAACAUUGGCAGGCGCACCUGUCGGCCAUCUCCAUCAGAGUGUUCUGGUGCUGCUCGUUUGAGGUCUCCACGCCGUCCUGCUGGACUAGAGAACGAGCUGAACCCGGAAGAUCGAACGAGUGCAUCCAGAAGGACCGCCAGUUUGAUUUGUUUAGUUAAAUAAAGGCUAGUUUUUGGACUUUUAUCACUGCGUUCUUUGCUUCCUGUAAACCCAACCUAACAACACUUGUGUUGCCCCGCCCUGUUUAGAGAGAUCGCCAACUACUAACUAAGUUUCACUUAAAAAAUGAGAAUUUGAAAACGAGCAAAUUGGUUUCGAGCCGCCAACUCAAAAUGACCCAAAACUUGGAAUAAAGGCAGCGCAAGAAAAGUGAUUUUUUUUUGGUUUUUAUCUAAAAUUUUCCAUAAAAAGGCAGAAUCAACGUGGCUGCAGCGGCCUUGUUGUGGGACGGCGGCGCUACAUUUCACCAUUGCUAGUGAACGUGUUCCGCGCGGCGGCUCGAUGCCGCUGGGAUAAUCCGCAGGUUGACUUAAAUGAACCAGGAGGGGAUCAUCUCCUCACGCCACAACUCUUAAAGCGCGGCAGCAAAACAGCGGGAGGAGCCACAUGAGAAGCUCGUGGCGGCCGUGAAGAGGACAUAAACGGUCUGAACACGCUGACUGCCUGAUUUUAAAGGGCCUGCAGGAAGAGAACAAGUCCCUUUGUACGACCUGGUUUCUGAAGCGCAGCCGGCAGAAAGCGAACGUCGCCUCAGCCCCGUUCUCGCACGCUGAGUUCUUCAAAUUAUCCAUCAAACAGGUUCAGAUCGUCUCACUUCUUUGGCGGCUUCAAACAGGCGGCAAGAAAGAGGAGGAGGGUUGGAGAGAGAGAGAGAGAGAGCGAGAGAGGAAGGGUGGACGCGGGCAUCUGACAAACUCAUUUGCAACGUGGAGGCGAAGUCUGUGGUAGGAAAACUGAAAGAGAUGCCUGUCUUCUGCUGCUACAGUAAAUAGCUUUUAUAUACUUGGUAAAACAAAAAAAGCAGCCUAGCCCGGCUGUGAAGGCUGUCUCGUCUAGACGUGGUAAACGGGCGACAUUUGAAGCGUUGCCAAAUAAAAGAUGAGCUGUGACUCAAAAGGCCUCUCCACUCCGCGCUCUCUUUAUCUCCACCCAGUCUCUCGCGGCUCUGAAGUUUCGACAGUUCGGCACCUGUUUAUCGGGAGUGCGACCAGAAAAGAAAAAAGUUAGCGUCUGUUUUUGGUUUUGUUCCGACCUUUUGAGCCGGCUGGUGUUGGUCAAACUGUUUUCUACGGAGAGAAUAAACAGGAGGCCUGUCCAGGAUUUGUUUAUAGCUGUUCCUUCGUUAGCAUGAGUAGAGGUACCCUGCUACAUUAGCAGUAGCAAAGCGUACCGAACCGGAACUUGGCACUAUCCGGCUACUACUCGAUUGGACCAUAUUGUUGGUUGUUCCCUGUUUGGACAGGUAAAUCUGAAGCUAGCUAGCUACAAACCUCAUGGCCCGUGUGCUGGUUUAUCUGAUGACUGAAGCUAUUCCUCCUCCUCCCAGGAUUCCAAGAGCAUCUUGAGACCACAGGGUGGGACUCUUGUGGCUCCACCAGGCUUGUGAAUCACGGCCCACUUGCCCAGGUCAGCGGCCACGUCGGCGGGAGGCUCCACCGUCACACAUCCGCCCGUUGGCUGAUGACCAGCGCUUGAGUCACGAAAAUGCUAACUUCCUGUCGGGCCCUCGGCUGUGACGGUAAAUUCCUCCGUCUAAAAAAAAGCAAACUCACACUCCUGUAGAAGCAGAGACACACAAGACAACAAUCAUGUCCUCGAAAGUCCUCGAUAUCACUAAAAUAUAUCGGUUACGUUGGCGUCGCUUGUGAAGAAGGCAGCGAUUCAUCGACUUCACAGGUGAACCCAAAAACCGCCGCGACUUCGCUGGAUUUAGACACUUGUUGCUCUGACAGUAACUCAAAAUAUCAAGACAGCUUCAGGGCAAUUACAAAAAACUCCAGACUUCCAAUAAACAAUCAAUCACGCUAACUUUGUUUUCCGCGUACAAAGAGAGCAUCUCGACAAACGAACGCCCC
Molecule: long non-coding RNA, 3655 nt
Filed under: Takifugu rubripes (torafugu)
Lineage: Eukaryota; Metazoa; Chordata; Actinopteri; Tetraodontiformes; Tetraodontidae
Description: lncRNA (ENSTRUG00000032800.1)
Source: RNAcentral